UGCUAGUUCCAUGAGAAUCAGUUGACCAUUUGAAUUAGUUGACUGUUUCAUACAGGUCGGUGAUAUUCACGUGUCCAAGGCGAUAUCCUUUGCGUCGAUUUGGAAGUGUCUGACGUAGAGCCAGCCUCACCGCGCUAAUCCAAAACGUUCUUUCGCCUGAGGACAUGGUGUUCUUGCAGUCAUGCCUUGCGUUCCAUGAUAUUUCACCGCAAGCUCCUAUGGUUUUUCCCAGCCGAGUGCGAGAAGGCCGUUGUCAGGUUAUCCGAAGCAGGAGAUUUUGGCGCACCUCUUCAUAGGCGUUUGAUGAUUGUUGGCGAGAAGUGUGCUGCUAACCUGGGCCUGACAGAUGGAUUCCGGAUGGCUGUGAGAUACCCACCCUCAGGCCCCUCAGACUAAAGUAUGCUUCUCCAUAUUCUUGGUGGCCUUCAGUUGGGCCAGCCUCCUGGCUAAGAUGUUUGCACCGCAGG
Meleagris gallopavo (turkey) is the source of this 467-nucleotide non-coding RNA. The record is from RefSeq and is a predicted model, not a curated record. Lineage: Eukaryota; Metazoa; Chordata; Aves; Galliformes; Phasianidae.